Molecule: long non-coding RNA, 265 nt
Organism: Seriola aureovittata
Lineage: Eukaryota; Metazoa; Chordata; Actinopteri; Carangiformes; Carangidae
Exons: 3
Source: RefSeq, a predicted model, not a curated record
CUUUGGUUCAACCACACCACUUUUAUCCAGAAUCUGAGCCAGAGGGAGAGGCACCUGAAGAAGUUCAAACUCUACAACUGCAGCAGGACGUUUCUGAAUGGUGCUCCUGUGGAAACUGUGCAACCAUGCCCACAGAAGCUGAAAAUAUCUGCUGCUAGGAGAUACCACAGGUUACCAGACGGCUGUGGGAGAUCGAGGAAGAUUUACCAUGUAUGGUAGACUGUCCUGGGUUGGAGCCGCUCUGCCUCUAUGUGUACUCCCUCCA